Molecule: long non-coding RNA, 1835 nt
Filed under: Canis lupus familiaris (dog)
Lineage: Eukaryota; Metazoa; Chordata; Mammalia; Carnivora; Canidae
Description: lncRNA (ENSCAFG00000053512.1)
Source: RNAcentral
UUUAUUUUUUUAUUGUGUUCAAUUUACUAACAUACGAAUACCCCCAGUGCCCGUCACCCAUUCACUCCACCUCCCGCCCUCCUCCCCUUCACCCACCCUAGUUCGUUUCCCAGAGUUAGCAGUCUUUACGUUCUGUCUCUCCUUUCUUAUAUGUUCCCACAACAUUCUUCCCCCUCCCUUAUAUUCCCUUCACUAUUAUUUAUAUUCCCCAACAUGAAUGAGAACAUAUAUGUUUGUCCUCUCUCCGACUGACUUACUUCCACUCAGCAUAAUACCCUCCAGUUCCAUCCCACUUGAACCAACAUGUGGGUAUUUGUCAUUUCUAAAUAGCUGAGUAAUAUUCCAUUGUAUACAUCAACACAUCUUCUUUAUCCAUUGCAUCUAUUGAUGGACACGAGGCUCCUUCCACAGUUUGGCUAUCGUGGCCAUUGCGUAUAAACAUCGGGGUGCAGGGUGUCCCGGCGUUUCAUUGAUUUGAUCUUUGGGGUAAUCCCCAACAGUGCAAUUGCUGGGUUGUAGGGCAGGUUAUUUUAACUGAUUGAGGAACCUCCACACAGUUUUCCAGAGUGGCUGCACCAAUUCACAUUCCCACCAACAUGUAGGGUCCCUUUUCUUCCACAUCCUCCCAACAUUUGUUGUUUCCUGCCUUGUUAUUUUCCCUCUCACUGGUGUGAGGUGGUAUCUCAUUGUGGUGUUGAUUUGUAUUUCCCUGAUGGCAAGUGAAUGGUCAGAGCAUUUUCUCAUGUGCAUGUUGGCCAUGUCUAUGUCUUCCUCUGUGAGAUUUCUGUUCAGUCUUUUGCCCAUUUCAAUGAUUGGAUUGUUUGUUUCUUUGGUGUUGAGUUUAAAAGUUCUUUAUAGAUCUUGGGAAACUACCCUUAUCUGAUGAUGUCAUUUGCACAAUAUUUCUCCCAUCUGUAGGUUGUCUUUGAGUUUUGUUGACUGGUAUCUUUGCUGUAAAAAGCUCUUAUCUUGAUGAAGUCCCAAUAGUUCAUUUUUGCUUUUGUUUCUUUGCCUUCGUGGUGUAGUCUUGCAGAAGUUACUUAUGGCCGAUUUCAAAAAGGGUGUUGCCCGUGUUCUUCUCGAGAUGUUUGAUGGAAUCUUGUCUCACAUUUAGAUCUUCAUCCAUUUUGAGUUUAUCUUUGUGUAUGUGAAAGAGAUGGUGCUAGUUUCAUUCUUCUGCAUGUGAUUGUCCAAUGUUCCCAGCACCAUUUAUUGAAGAGAAUGUCUUUCUUCCAAUGGAUAGUCUUUCCUCCUUAUCGAAUAUGUAGUUGACCAUAAGGUCAGGGUCCACUUCUGGAUUCUCUAUUCUGUUCCACUUAUCUAGGUGUCUGUUUUGUGCCAGUACACACUGUCUUGAUGACCACCGCUUUGUUAGUACAACCUGAAUCUGGCAUUGUAUUGCUCCCCAGAUAUGGUUUCUUUUUUAAAAUUCCCCUGGCUAUUCGCGGGUCUUUUCUGAUUCACACAAAUCUUAAAUAAUUUGUUCUAACUCUCUGAGAAAGUCCAUGGUAUUUGAUAGGGAUUGCAUUAAACGUGUAUAUUGCCCUGGGUAACUUGACAUUUUACACAAUAUUAAUUCUGCCAUCCAUGAGCAUGGAAUAUUUUUCCAAUCUCGUUUGUGUCUUCCUCCAAUUUCUUUCAGAAGUGUUUCUAGUUUUGAGGGAGUAGAUCCUUUACAUCUUUGGUGUAGGUAUUCCUAGGUAUCUUCUGCUUUGGGUGCAAUUGUAAAUGGGAUUGACUCCUUAAUUUCUCUUUCUUCAGUAUCAUUGUUAGUGUAUAUGACAUGCCACUGACUUCUGGGCAUUGAUUUUGUAUCCUGCCCGCUCCCGAAUUGC